RNAcentral lists this long non-coding RNA (637 nucleotides) under Olea europaea (common olive). Its description in RNAcentral is "long non-coding RNA (OEUR_LNC002684)". The record is from RNAcentral. Lineage: Eukaryota; Viridiplantae; Streptophyta; Magnoliopsida; Lamiales; Oleaceae.
UUUUUUUUAAUCGGUAAAUAAAUUUGUAUUGAUCAAAAUUGGGUAAAAUUACUCCGGGCAUACAAAGUAAAUCAUUACAAAGAUCCAAUGAUCUAGUGAUCCAAACCAAGUGACGGAAUAUAAUUCAAAAUAUUACAAACUUGGUUAAUAUAUCAAAAUCCUCUUUAGAGAACAACCGUAAGUAGCCAUUAACUUUCAAACAAGCAGGCUGCUGGAAAUCAAUGCAAGUAUCUGGACGAGACAAAUGCUGCCAUGAACCUUUGAUUGCAUUCAUGCAAAGUGGAUAGGCUUCAAUGAAACGUCAUUUUCUGUUGUAUAAUUCAAACAGCUGGAAGGCAGGCUGCUUGAAUUAAAAAUCUGUAGGGACCGAUGAUGCAGGCAAAUCUUAAAUGGCAGAAAGAAAGCAGCUGGACGGCAAGCUGCUUGCUGGCAAAGAUCUGUUGCACAUGGGACUGAAUCACUGCCUAACCAGGCUAGUGCUUAAAUUUUGGUCAAAAAGUUCAAAUUUUUUUGAAAUUUAUGCCAAAAAAGGAAACAUAUAACUGCAGAAACAGUCAACAUUACAAAAAUAUUGCAGGAGAUUUGUCUGGUAAACAAUUGAAAUUGAUAAGCCAGAAACAUUAAUUUUAAAUUUGGG